Vicia faba (fava bean) is the source of this 327-nucleotide non-coding RNA. Lineage: Eukaryota; Viridiplantae; Streptophyta; Magnoliopsida; Fabales; Fabaceae. The record is from the annotation of a GenBank genome assembly.
AUGAAGAAGCGGCUUGAGCGGCCGCGAAAUCGGGUCUUGGAGCGGUUUGGAUGUGCCGUUUUUCUUGUUUUUGCAAACUGGGUCGGGUCGAGUAAAAAAAUUAGGUUAAAAACGUUAAAAAAAACCCUAAAUUUUGUAUUCGCAUGGUUUGCUCUCCCUCGCACAUCAUCAUCUCCCCGCAGCUCUCCAUCGCCCAUCACCAUCAUCGAUCUCCGUCUUUCCCUUUUCUCCAUCCCACAUCAUCAACUCUGCUUCAGGUAUUUUGGUUUUGUACCAUCAUAUCUUUAUUUCUGUUUCUUUUAUUUUGUUUUUUCUUCUGUUAUGUGA